AGCGAACGCUGGCGGCAGGCCUAAUACAUGCAAGUCGAGCGCGCCCUUCGGGGUGAGCGGCGGACGGGUGAGUAACGCGUGGGAAUAUGCCCUUCUCUAAGGAAUAGCCUCUGGAAACGGAGAGUAAUACCUUAUACGCCCUUUGGGGGAAAGAUUUAUCGGAGAAGGAUUAGCCCGCGUUAGAUUAGGUAGUUGGUGGGGUAAUGGCCUACCAAGCCUACGAUCUAUAGCUGGUUUGAGAGGAUGAUCAGCCACACUGGGACUGAGACACGGCCCAGACUCCUACGGGAGGCAGCAGUAGGGAAUCUUAGACAAUGGGGGCAACCCUGAUCUAGCCAUGCCGCGUGUGUGAUGAAGGCCCUAGGGUCGUAAAGCACUUUCGCCAGAGAUGAUAAUGACAGUAUCUGGUAAAGAAACCCCGGCUAACUCCGUGCCAGCAGCCGCGGUAAUACGGAGAGGGUUAGCGUUGUUCGGAAUUACUGGGCGUAAAGCGCACGUAGGCGGAUUAGUAAGUUAGAGGUGAAAUCCCAGGGCUCAACCCUGGAACUGCCUUUAAUACUGCUAGUCUUGAGUUCGAGAGAGGUAAGUGGAAUUCCGAGUGUAGAGGUGAAAUUCGUA
RNAcentral lists this ribosomal RNA (618 nucleotides) under uncultured Alphaproteobacteria bacterium. Its description in RNAcentral is "bacterial SSU rRNA". It matches the Rfam family "Bacterial small subunit ribosomal RNA", at positions 28 to 692 of the family's 1533-position model. The record is from RNAcentral. Lineage: Bacteria; Pseudomonadati; Pseudomonadota; Alphaproteobacteria.